AAGAGGUGAAAAAAGGUAAUACUCUUUAGGAAACCUAUGCCUUUUGGCGGCCUCUUUUCUUAUCAAAGGAACUUGUUUAUUAAUCGAAAUUACCCGUUAGUUUUAACUUCUAUCUUGUUUUUAUACCGUCGUCUUAAGAAUAUUGUUAUAUAAAGUACUCGCAAAAAAAAUAUAUUCCCAAGUCAGAUCAAGGUGAAGCUAAUACAGAAGGUUAAAUGAGUUAUUUAUUAGUAUUACUAAGCGAUUUAAAAAUCAAAAUUUUAUUGAAUUAAGAUUUGACAAUACCUAGAAAUUAAUAAUUCCUAGGGAAGAAGUAAAAAAAGGUGU
This 327-nucleotide ribosomal RNA is filed under the name Aname marae. Its description in RNAcentral is "partial 12S ribosomal RNA". Lineage: Eukaryota; Metazoa; Arthropoda; Arachnida; Araneae; Anamidae. The record is from RNAcentral.